GCCGCGCAGUCACCGCGGAGCAGACGCGGAGGCUGGUGGCCCCUGGGCGAGAUGCCGUACGCUAACCAGCCUACCGUGCGGAUCACGGAGCUCACUGACGAGAAUGUCAAGUUCAUCAUCGAGAACACCGACCUGGCGGUGGCCAAUUCGAUUCGGAGGGUCUUCAUCGCUGAGGUGCCCAUAAUAGCCAUUGACUGGGUUCAGAUUGAUGCCAAUUCCUCAGUCCUUCAUGAUGAAUUCAUCGCGCACAGGCUUGGAUUAAUUCCCCUCAUUAGUGAUGACAUUGUGGACAAGCUGCAGUACUCUCGGGACUGCACAUGUGAGGAGUUCUGCCCCGAGUGCUCGGUGGAGUUCACCCUCGAUGUGCGGUGCAAUGAAGACCAGACGCGACAUGUCACGUCUCGAGACCUCAUCUCCAACAGCCCCCGGGUCAUUCCGGUGACAUCCCGGAACCGAGAUAAUGACCCCAAUGACUACGUGGAGCAGGAUGACAUCCUCAUCGUCAAGUUGAGAAAGGGCCAGGAGCUGAGACUUCGAGCCUAUGCCAAAAAGGGCUUUGGCAAGGAGCAUGCCAAGUGGAACCCUACUGCAGGGGUGGCUUUUGAAUACGAUCCAGACAAUGCCCUGAGGCACACAGUGUACCCCAAGCCCGAGGAAUGGCUCUCUAGGAACUUGGGUGCCCCAAAAGGAGCAGUGGCAACCUUGUGCUGACCUGUGUUU
RNAcentral lists this small RNA (720 nucleotides) under Pan troglodytes (chimpanzee). Its description in RNAcentral is "processed transcript". The record is from RNAcentral. Lineage: Eukaryota; Metazoa; Chordata; Mammalia; Primates; Hominidae.